RNAcentral lists this small RNA (5059 nucleotides) under Pongo abelii (Sumatran orangutan). RNAcentral describes it as "retained intron". The record is from RNAcentral. Lineage: Eukaryota; Metazoa; Chordata; Mammalia; Primates; Hominidae.
UCCUCACACCAGCCAGCCAGCCUACCCUCCGCCCAGGGGAAGCGGCUGCCUCCGCCAGGCCGCUUCCAGGAAGCCCCGGGCCAGGCCCCAGCAUUGUUCAGGCCCUGGGGCCGGCACCCCAGCCAGCCGAACACCAUGAAGUCCAGCAGCCCCGUGGAGAGGCUGCUCAGAGCCCUGGGGAGGAGGGACGGCAGCCGGGCCACAAGCAGGCCUAGGAAAGCUGAGCCUCAUAGCUUCCGGGAGAAGGUUUUCCGGAAGAAACCUCCAGUCUGUGCAGUAUGUAAGGUGACCAUCGAUGGGACAGGCGUUUCGUGCAGAGUCUGCAAGGUGGCGACGCACAGAAAAUGUGAAGCAAAGGUGACUUCAGCCUGUCAGGCCUUGCCUCCCGCGGAGUUGCGGCGAAACACGGCCCCAGUCAGGCGCAUAGAGCACCUGGGAUCCACCAAAUCUCUGAACCACUCAAAGCAGCGCAGCACUCUGCCCAGGAGCUUCAGCCUGGACCCGCUCAUGGAGCGGCGCUGGGACUUAGACCUCACCUACGUGACGGAACGCAUCUUGGCCGCCGCCUUCCCCGCGCGGCCCGAUGAACAGCGGCACAGGGGCCACCUGCGCGAGCUGGCCCACGUGCUGCAAUCCAAGCACCGGGACAAGUACCUGCUCUUCAACCUUUCAGAGAAAAGGCAUGACCUGACCCGCUUAAACCCCAAGGUUCAAGACUUUGGCUGGCCUGAUCUGCAUGCUCCACCCCUGGACAAGCUGUGCUCCAUCUGCAAAGCCAUGGAGACGUGGCUCAGUGCUGACCCACAGCACGUGGUCGUACUAUACUGCAAGGGAAACAAGGGCAAGCUCGGGGUCAUCGUUUCUGCCUACAUGCAUUACAGCAAGAUCUCUGCAGGGGCGGACCAGGCACUGGCCACUCUUACCAUGCGGAAAUUCUGCGAGGACAAGGUGGCCACAGAACUGCAGCCCUCCCAGCGUCGAUACAUCAGUUACUUCAGUGGGCUGCUAUCCGGCUCCAUCAGAAUGAACAGCAGCCCUCUCUUCCUGCACUAUGUGCUCAUCCCCACGCUGCCAGCCUUUGAACCUGGCACAGGCUUCCAGCCCUUCCUUAAAAUCUACCAGUCCAUGCAGCUUGUCUACACGUCUGGAGUCUAUCACAUUGCAGGCCCUGGUCCCCAGCAGCUUUGCAUCAGCCUGGAGCCGGCCCUCCUCCUCAAAGGCGAUGUCAUGGUAACAUGUUAUCACAAGGGUGGCCGGGGCACAGACCGGACCCUCGUGUUCCGAGUCCAGUUCCACACCUGCACCAUCCACGGACCACAGCUCACUUUCCCCAAGGACCAGCUGGACGAGGCCUGGACUGGUGAGUCUGAGACAAGUGGCCUGGGGCUGGAGCCCAGGUGGCAGGCAGGCAGGAGAGUGUGGUAUGGGCCAGGGGCCUGGUUCUUCACUGUCCACUCCCCAUAGAUGAGAGAUUCCCCUUCCAAGCCUCCGUGGAGUUUGUCUUCUCCUCCAGCCCCGAGAAGAUCAAAGGUAAGAGCAGGGACAUGGGCUGGGGACUGAGGGCCGCCUCUCCCCUGCUCCCCAACACCCGAGUGGCCUUCCACAGGCAGCACUCCACGGAAUGACCCCUCGGUCUCUGUCGACUACAACACCACCGAGCCAGCCGUGCGCUGGGACUCCUAUGAGAACUUCAACCAGCACCACGAGGACAGUGUGGAUUGUGCGCAGGGCAGCCUGCAAGGUGGGAUGCUCCUUGACCCACACCCGGGGUCCCCUGGAUGGCAGUCCUUAUGCCCAGGUGCAGCGGCCUCCCCGGCAGACCCCCCCGGCGCCCUCUCCAGAGCCUCCACCACCCCCCAUGCUCUCUGUCAGCAGCGACUCGGGCCAUUCCUCCACGCUGACCACAGAGCCGGCUGCUGAGUCCCCUGGCCGGCCGCCCCCUACAGCUGCUGAACAGCAGGAGCUGGAUCGCCUCCUAGGAGGCUGCGGAGUGGCCAGUGGGGGCCGGGGAGCUGGGCGCGAGACGGCCAUUCUAGAUGACGAAGAGCAGCCCCCUGUGGGCGGAGGCCCCCACCUCGGUGUGUAUCCAGGCCACAGGCCUGGCCUCAGCCGCCACUGCUCCUGCCGCCAGGGCUACCGGGAGCCCUGCGGGGUCCCCAAUGGGGGCUACUACCGGCCAGAGGGAACCCUGGAGAGGAGGCGACUGGCCUACGGGGGCUAUGAGGGAUCCCCCCAGGGCUACGCCGAGGCCUCGAUGGAGAAGAGGCGCCUCUGCCGAUCGCUGUCAGAGGGGCCAUACCCCUACCCACCCGAGAUGGGGAAACCAGCCACUGGGGACUUUGGCUACCGCGCCCCAGGCUACCGGGAGGUGGUCAUCCUGGAGGACCCUGGGCUGCCUGCCCUAUACCCAUGCCCAGCCUGCGAGGAGAAGCUGGCGCUGCCUACAGCAGCCUUGUAUGGACUGCGGCUGGAGAGGGAGGCUGGAGAAGGGUGGGCAAAUGAGGCUGGCAAGCCUCUCCUGCACCCAGUGCGGCCUGGGCACCCGCUGCCUCUGCUCUUGCCUGCCUGUGGGCAUCACCAUGCCCCGAUGCCUGACUACAGCUGCCUGAAGCCACCCAAGGCAGGCGAGGAAGGGCACGAGGGCUGCUCCUACACCAUGUGCCCCGAAGGCAGGUAUGGGCAUCCAGGGUACCCUGCCCUGGUGACAUACAGCUAUGGAGGAGCAGUUCCCAGUUACUGCCCAGCAUAUGGCCGCGUGCCUCAUAGCUGUGGCUCUCCAGGAGAGGGCAGAGGGUAUCCCAGCCCUGGUGCCCACUCCCCACGGGCUGGCUCCAUUUCCCCGGGCAGCCCGCCCUAUCCACAAUCUAGGAAGCUGAGCUACGAGAUCCCUACGGAGGAGGGAGGGGACAGGUACCCAUUGCCUGGGCACCUGGCCUCAGCAGGACCUUUGGCAUCUGCAGAGUCACUGGAGCCGGUGUCCUGGAGGGAGGGCCCCAGUGGGCACAGCACACUGCCUCGGUCUCCCCGAGAUGCCCCAUGCAGUGCUUCAUCAGAGUUGUCUGGUUCCUCCAUGCCCCUGCACACCAGCAGCCCAGUCCAGGGCAAGGAAAGCACCCGGCGACAGGACACCAGGUCCCCCACCUCAGCGCCCACUCAGAGACUGAGUCCUGGCGAGGGCUUGCCCCCUGUUUCCCAGGCAGGCACCGGAAAGGCCCCUGAGCUGCCGUCGGGAAGUGGGCCUGAGCCUCCGGCCCCUAGCCCAGUCUCUCCGACCUUCCCUCCCAGCUCGCCCAGUGACUGGCCUCAGGAAAGGAGUCCAGGGGGCCGCUCAGAUGGCGCCAGUCCUCGGAGCCCUGUGCCCACCACACUUCCUGGCCUCCGCCACGCCCCCUGGCAAGGCCCUCGAGGCCCCCCAGACAGCCCAGAUGGGUCUCCCCUCACUCCUGUGCCUUCCCAGAUGCCCUGGCUUGUGACCAGCCCAGAGCCGCCUCAGAGCUCACCUACACCUGCUUUCCCCCUGGCUGCCUCCUAUGACACCAAUGGCCUUAGCCAGCCCCCACUUCCUGAGAAACGCCACCUGCCUGGGCCGGGGCAACAGCCAGGACCCUGGGGCCCAGAGCAGGCAUCAUCGCCAGCCAGAGGCAUCAGUCACCAUGUCACCUUCGCACCUCUGCUCUCGGAUAACGUCCCCCAACCCCCAGAGCCUCCUACACAAGAGAGCCAAAGCAAUGUCAAGUUUGUCCAGGAUACAUCCAAGUUCUGGUACAAGCCACACCUGUCCCGUGACCAAGCCAUUGCCCUGCUGAAGGACAAGGAUCCUGGGGCCUUCCUGAUCAGGGACAGUCAUUCAUUCCAAGGAGCUUAUGGGCUGGCCCUCAAGGUGGCCACACCGCCACCCAGUGCCCAGCCCUGGAAAGGGGACCCCGUGGAACAGCUGGUCCGCCAUUUCCUCAUCGAGACUGGGCCCAAAGGGGUGAAGAUCAAGGGCUGCCCCAGUGAGCCCUACUUUGCCUGUCCGCCUUGGUCUCCCAGCACUCCAUCUCCCCCAUCUCCCUGCCCUGCUGCCUGCGCAUUCCCAGCAAAGAUCCUCUGGAAGAGACCCCAGAGGCUCCAGUGCCCACCAACAUGAGCACAGCGGCAGACCUCCUGCGUCAGGGUGCUGCCUGCAGCGUGCUCUACCUGACCUCAGUGGAGACAGAGUCACUGACGGGCCCCCAGGCUGUGGCCCGGGCCAGCUCUGCAGCUCUGAGCUGUAGCCCCCGCCCGACACCAGCUGUUGUCCACUUCAAGGUGUCAGCCCAGGGCAUUACACUGACGGACAACCAAAGGAAGCUAUUCUUUCGCCGCCAUUAUCCAGUGAACAGCAUCACCUUCUCCAGCACAGACCCUCAAGACCGGAGAUGGACCAACCCAGACGGGACCACCUCCAAGAUCUUUGGUUUCGUGGCCAAGAAGCCGGGAAGCCCCUGGGAGAAUGUGUGUCACCUCUUUGCAGAGCUUGACCCAGAUCAGCCUGCUGGCGCCAUUGUCACCUUCAUCACCAAAGUUCUACUGGGCCAGAGAAAAUGAAGGAAGGCCACAAGCUCAGAGCCCACAUCAACACUGCACCCCUCCCAGCACCACACAGCCCUCACAUCCCCUGGCCUGGACCCAGGAGACCCAGGAGAAAGCACCCUCCCUUAGGAAUGAGGAGUGGGCAUCAGGCCUGGGACACUGCUCUCCUUCCCCGCCCCCAGCCUGCUAAGUUAAGUGGACAGGCCCACAAGAUGACCUUGCAUGUGAGCAGAUGGCAGAGAUGGGUGUGUGAGGGGUGAGGAGGCAUCAGCAGUGAAGCCCCGAAGGAGAUCAGGCAGCCCCACCUGCAGGAGAACAUCAGCCCUCCAGGGGAUCAGCCCCUGCCAGUUCCACCCAGCUGCAGGUCCCAGCACGGCAGGGAUGGGAGAGGGGUGGGGAGCAAGUCACUGCCUCCUCUGAGCAGAGAUUCAGAGUAGGAUCACAUGAAUAGGGGAAAAAAGAGAGUCUAUUUUUGUCUAAUAAUAAAGAAUUUCUAUAAACUUUA